RNAcentral lists this ribosomal RNA (543 nucleotides) under uncultured bacterium. Its description in RNAcentral is "bacterial SSU rRNA". It matches the Rfam family "Bacterial small subunit ribosomal RNA", at positions 777 to 1319 of the family's 1533-position model. The record is from RNAcentral.
AAUAGAUACCCCGGUAGUCCACGCCCUAAACGAUGUCGACUAGGUGUUGGGGAAGGAGACUUCCUUAGUACCGCAGCUAACGCGUGAAGUCGACCGCCUGGGGAGUACGGUCGCAAGAUUAAAACUCAAAGGAAUUGACGGGGACCCGCACAAGCGGUGGAUGAUGUGGAUUAAUUCGAUGCAACGCGAAAAACCUUACCUACCCUUGACAUGUACGGAAGUCCGCUGAGAGGUGGAUGUGCCCGAAAGGGAGCCGUAACACAGGUGCUGCAUGGCUGUCGUCAGCUCGUGUCGCGAGAUGUUGGGUUAAGUCCCGCAACGAGCGCAACCCUUGCCAUUAGUUGCCACAUUCAGUUGGGCACUCUAAUGGGACUGCCGGUGACAAACCGGAGGAAGGUGGGGAUGACGUCAAGUCCUCAUGGCCCUUAUGGGUAGGGCCUCACACGUCAUACAAUGGCGCGUACAGAGGGUUGCCAACCCGCGAGGGGGAGCCAAUCCCAGAAAGCGCGUCGUAGUCCGGAUUGGAGUCUGCAACUCGACUCC